This 588-nucleotide ribosomal RNA is filed under the name uncultured bacterium. Its description in RNAcentral is "bacterial SSU rRNA". It matches the Rfam family "Bacterial small subunit ribosomal RNA", at positions 338 to 919 of the family's 1533-position model. The record is from RNAcentral.
CCUACGGGAGGCAGCAGUAAGGAAUAUUGGUCAAUGGACGCAAGUCUGAACCAGCCAUGCCGCGUGAAGGAUUAAGGCCCUCUGGGUUGUAAACUUCUUUUAUAGGGGACGAAAAAAGGGCAUUCUUGCUCACUUGACGGUACCCUAGGAAUAAGCACCGGCUAACUCCGUGCCAGCAGCCGCGGUAAUACGGAGGGUGCAAGCGUUAUCCGGAUUUACUGGGUUUAAAGGGUGCGUAGGUGGGUUGGUAAGUCAGUGGUGAAAUCUUCGAGCUUAACUCGGAAACUGCCAUUGAUACUAUCAAUCUUGAAUCAUCUAGAGGUAAGCGGAAUAUGUCAUGUAGCGGUGAAAUGCUUAGAUAUGACAUAGAACACCAAUUGCGAAGGCAGCUUACUAUGGAUGUAUUGACACUGAGGCACGAAAAGCGUGGGGGAUCAAACAGGAUUAGAUACCCUGGUAGUCCACGCCCUAAACCGAAUGGAUACUCGACAUUUGUGAUAUACUAUAAGUAGUCUGAGCGAAAGCAAUUAAGUAUCCCACCUGGAAGUACGACCGCAAGGUUGAAACUACAAAGGAAAGUUAGAACGG